UCCUACGGGAGGCAGCAGCCGCGGUAUGUACAUCCUACGGGAGGCAGCAGUAGGGAAUAUUGGACAAUGGGGGAAACCCUGAUCCAGCAAUGCCGCGUGAGUGAUGAAGGCCUUAGGGUUGUAAAGCUCUUUUACCCGGGAUGAUAAUGACAGUACCGGGAGAAUAAGCUCCGGCUAACUCCGUGCCAGCAGCCGCGGUA
RNAcentral lists this ribosomal RNA (200 nucleotides) under uncultured bacterium. RNAcentral's name for it is "partial 16S ribosomal RNA". It matches the Rfam family "Bacterial small subunit ribosomal RNA", at positions 291 to 522 of the family's 1533-position model. The record is from RNAcentral.